GCACGAAUCUCCUCCUUUGAUAUGCUC
Molecule: small RNA, 27 nt
Filed under: Bombyx mori (domestic silkworm)
Lineage: Eukaryota; Metazoa; Arthropoda; Insecta; Lepidoptera; Bombycidae
Description: ovarian small RNA-16342
Source: RNAcentral